UGAACAAUUUGAAGAACUUUUAACAAUCAUCACAGAUGAUAUUCAAAAACGUAAUUAUAGAGAGUUUUUAACUCUAGAAUUUCGUUUAGCUAUCACACUUAGGUAUGUUGUAUUCCAUUUGCGACUACUUUUUUGUAUUUUGUUUUUUAUUUUGUUAUUAUAUAAAUUGUAUAUUGGUUUUUAGUUACUUAGUAUCUGGCAUUAGUAUUGUUAGUUUAUCAAAUUAUUGGAAGAUAGGCAAAUCUACUGCAUACGAGGUGAUUCGAGAGAUAUGUGAAGCUAUAUGGAAGUGUUUAAAGGAUACUCAUUUAGCACCACCUUCUACGAUAGAAUGGAAACGCAUAGCAGAUGGAUACUGGUCAAGAUGGAAUUUACCAAACUGUUGUGGAGCUUUAGAUGGGAAGCACAUCAGAUUAUAAUGUCCACCAAAAUGUGGCUCCCAAUUCUUCAAUUAUAAACAAUAUUUUAGCUUUGUAUUGAUGGCACUCUGUGACAGCAAAUAUUGCUUUACAUGGAUAGAAGUAGGAAACUAUGGAUUUCUUCCAGACAGCAGUAUUUUCAGUUCCUCUGCAUUAGGUAUAGCCAUGGAGGAAGGAUCUCUUAAUUUCCCAGAUCCAGAACGGUUGCCUGGUAGUAAUGUGUUUGUUCCCUACUUUCUUGUUGGCGAUGAAGCAUUCCCAUUACGCACCGACUUAAUAAGACCAUACCCAAGAAGAAAUCUCCUAGGCGAGGCACAUCGAAUAUUUAAUUACAGGCAAUCUCGUGCAAGACUCACAAUCGAGAAUGCUUUUGAAAUUUUAACAUCAAGGUGGCGAGUUUUAUGCACCACUUUUUUUGGCUCACCAUCCUCAUAACAGUGAAAGCAUUAUUCUUGCUACAGUGUGUCUUCAUAACUUUGUUAUAAAAAGAGAAGAACACCAGCAAGGAUUCAAACAAUAUUGCCCACCUUCAUAUGUGGAUCAUGAAGAUGAUAAUUAUAAUAUAGUACCUGGUGAAUGGCGGAGAGAUCCUUUUUGUAACUACCUCCAGAAUAUUGGUCGAUUAGGAACAAACAGAGGUGCAGUAGUUGCAAUUCAUCAGAGACACAAUCGCAGAAUAUUCUUUGAGUGAGGAAGGGUGCCUUGGCAGUGGCAAACUGUUUACAGAGGUUUUGAUGUAAAUAUGCCUUAGUUUAUAUUUUAUUUAGAUUAAAUAAUGUUUUAUCAUUAUUAUAUUAUAAUAAUUUAUAAAAAAAUAUAUAUAUAGUUUAUUUAUAAUGUAUAUUAUAAUUAUUACAUUAUAAUAUAAUAUAAUAAUUAGCAUUUUUUUUCUAAAACAAUUUCAAUAUCUUUAUUAAAUAUAAUUUUUUUUUAAUUUGUGUAAUAAACUUUGUAUAAUAAAACAUUGGAAAAAACAUGGAACUAUACAUCACAAUACUUGUAAACAUACUAUUUUUAUACUAUUAUUGCUAUAUCUAUAUACUAAAAUAAAAAUCACAGUAUAUGUCAACAUAAAGAUUACUAAUCAUAACAGAUAUUAAUUUUUAUUACGAAUUAACAUUUUUAGUAGAAACAAUUUUGUUUAUUAACAAAAUAAAUACUAUACUUUUGCAUAAUAUAAUGAAAAAUUUUAAAAAUUAGAAAAAUUAAUUAAUCUUUUGAAAUUUUAGUUAAGGUUCUUUAAAAUAAUACCCUUAAAAGAUUAAUAAUAUUAAUUAUUAUUAAAAUAAAAAUUAUUUCAUAAUUAAUAUUUACUGUAGAAACAAUUCUGUUUACUCUAAAAAGAAAGUUGUAUAACAAUUAAAAAUAAAAACAAAUAGUUCUUUGGAUUGACAUCUUUAAAAAGAAAUCACACUUUGGUAGAAAAUCAGAAAGUAAAAAAGCAGAAGCCAAUCAGAAUUCUCGCUGAGAAUAAGCUUAUUAAGGAAAGUAGUAAAAUUAUAAUAAGUUACUAGCAGUGCGAGUUCUGAUUAGCUGCUACUUUUUUAUAAAGAUAUAAAACUUCAAGAAUAUUAUUAAUAUUCUUGCUAAAAUAAAAUUAUGACAUAAUUAACAUUUAUUAUAGGAACGAUUAUGUUCACUAAAAAACUAAAAAUGUAUUCUUGUAUAACAUAAUUAAAAAACAAAUUUAUAAAAAACAUUGACUUUUGAUUUUAUAAUCAAGGUUCUUUGGAAUGGAAACGUAUUCAUCGAUGACUAUAUGUUUACACGUCACUUUUAAUUGGAUUUUAUAAUAUUCGUAGUUCUAAGACUGGCUAAUCAUAGCCAUUCCUCUGAAACUCUGAAGAAUGGAACGGUUAUGAUUGGCCACUACCUUACAACUGCAGCAACUAUUAUUAAACCCGAUUAAGAGUGACGUGUAAAUAUAGUUGAUAGUACAAGUUUACCUAUUUUUGAUAUUUGCUGAUAACAUUCAUAAUAGCCAUAAAACAUUCCAUUUCCAUUUCAGCUGAAACCUUUUCAAAUGCUGUUUCUAUAGCAACAACAAAAGGGUGCAUAUUCUUUUCUUUUUUUACUUCAUUUAGAGUAUCCUGUGUGAAACAUGUCGCCAUAGAUUGGAUGGCAGACGAAAACUUUGCAAUCAGCAAUUUUAGAUUAUUCUCUUUAUUCUUCUUCUGUUGAGAAAAUGUAUCCAAUGACGGGACAGCAGUUUUUAUUUCUUGGACGGAAAUCCAGCAUUUUUUUCAUCACUUUUAUAUAAUUGUUUUUUCUUAUCACCAUCAUUGUUUGUCACGUCAAUAAGAACAUAGUCCAAAUCAUCCGGUACAAUUUUUACAGGCGAGGAACUGCAUGUGUUUCUUUCUGCAUCGUACUCCGUUGAUAUUUCGUCACUCACUGAAUCGAGUGAAGAUGGUGAUGGUGAUAUCAGAAAAUUUGGAGAGUUUGAAGAUGACCCGCUUGAUGGUGUUGACGAUCCAGAAUUAUUUGAGAUAGUCAUGGAACCUUGAGUUCUGCCAAAAAAAUUUUUAAAAUUAAAAUUAGGGCAUACUUUAAUAUGUAGAGAAAAUUGUAAGUUAUACAAGUACUGAGUAAAUGAUGUUAUGUUCAACAACAACAAUUUUUUAAGUUAUAUAUUAUAUACAAUGGAAAAGAAAUCUUUUCCAACGUAUUCUUUUUUUUCUGCAUUCUACACAGUAUAUCUUUUAUGACUUACACUCAGUAAAAUAAAGAAUCUUUUUGUACCAUA
This 3165-nucleotide long non-coding RNA is filed under the name Monomorium pharaonis (pharaoh ant). RNAcentral's name for it is "protein ANTAGONIST OF LIKE HETEROCHROMATIN PROTEIN 1". The record is from RNAcentral. Lineage: Eukaryota; Metazoa; Arthropoda; Insecta; Hymenoptera; Formicidae.